RNAcentral lists this ribosomal RNA (253 nucleotides) under uncultured bacterium. RNAcentral describes it as "partial 16S ribosomal RNA". It matches the Rfam family "Bacterial small subunit ribosomal RNA", at positions 524 to 776 of the family's 1533-position model. The record is from RNAcentral.
GACGUAGGGCGCGAGCGUUGUCCGGAUUUAUUGGGCGUAAAGAGCUCGUAGGCGGCUUGUCGCGUCGUCCGUGAAAACCUGCAGCUCAACUGCAGGCUUGCGGUCGAUACGGGCAGGCUAGAGUUCGGUAGGGGAGACUGGAAUUCCUGGUGUAGCGGUGAAAUGCGCAGAUAUCAGGAGGAACACCGGUGGCGAAGGCGGGUCCCUGGACAACUUCUGACGCUGAGGCACGAAAGCUAGGGGAGCAAACAGG